RNAcentral lists this long non-coding RNA (232 nucleotides) under Elaeis guineensis (African oil palm). Its description in RNAcentral is "long non-coding RNA (EGUI_LNC075564)". The record is from RNAcentral. Lineage: Eukaryota; Viridiplantae; Streptophyta; Magnoliopsida; Arecales; Arecaceae.
CCAGGGAGUGAUGGAGCCGCAUGGAAUCCAUCGCAGAAAGUGGAGCAGAGUCGUGGCCGUUACUACGGCCCGCCAGGGAGUGAUGGAGCCACGCGAAAUCCAUCGCAGGAAGUGGAGCAGAGUCGUGACCGUUGCUGUGGCCUGCUAGAGGGUCCAGGCCUAUCGGUCGAAGUUCGGCUGGACUGUCUGGCGGAGAGAGGUGGCUAGUUACCCGUCUGAGAGGAGCUCGGAG